CAAAUGGGAUAUAACCGCGUUGUUAUAUCUUGAUGAUAAGACAUAAUGAUGAGCGAAAGUCCGGGCUCCUUCGGAAAAAAUGCCGGGUAAUAACCGGGCCAGACAGAUAACUGUAUAAUUUCUUACAUAGUUCUAUCUGGACAGACAGUGCAACAGAAAUUGUACCGCCCGAAAGGGUAAGGGUGAAAAGGCAGUGUAAGAGACUACCGCAUAACUGGUAACAGUUGUGGCUUGUAAACCUCAUUUGGAGCAAGAUUAAGCAGCAGUUGUGGAUUUCCGACCAAUACUGCGGGUAAAUCGCUAAAGUUAAAUGGCAACAUUUAACUCGGAUAGAUGGUUAUUGAUGGAAACAUCAGACAGAACCCGGCUUAUUGUCCCAUUUGUUUU
RNAcentral lists this RNase P RNA (387 nucleotides) under Treponema sp. RNAcentral describes it as "RNase P RNA component class A". It matches the Rfam family "Bacterial RNase P class A". Rfam says of the family: Ribonuclease P (RNase P) is a ubiquitous endoribonuclease, found in archaea, bacteria and eukarya as well as chloroplasts and mitochondria. Its best characterised activity is the generation of mature 5'-ends of tRNAs by cleaving the 5'-leader elements of precursor-tRNAs. The record is from RNAcentral. Lineage: Bacteria; Pseudomonadati; Spirochaetota; Spirochaetia; Treponematales; Treponemataceae.